GAAAACUUUAAUGGUCGAACAGACCAACCCUUGAAAGCCCCUACACCUUCAGGAUGUUUUGAUCCAACAUCGAGGCCAUAAACCCUUUUUUCGAUAUGAUCUCUCAAAAAGAAUUAUGCUGUUAUCCCUGCGGUAAUUAUUUCUCUUAAUCACUUAUCAAUGGAUCAAUAUAUAUCAAUCUAAAAUUAAUCAAGGAGGCUUUUUUUGCUCCCCGGUUCCCCCAACCAAAACUAUAAUAUAAAUAUUUACAAACAUACUUCUAACAUUGUAAAUCUCACACCUAAUUAAAACUCGACAGGGUCUUCUUGUCUAUCAAUUUUAUUUAAGCUUCUUCACUUAAAAAUAAAUUUCUAAAAAUUUUAUAAGAGACAGUUUUACCCUCGUCAAACCAUUCAUACCAUCCCUCAAUUAAAGGACAAAUUAUCACGCUACCUUCGCACAGUCAGGCUACCGCGGCCAUUAAAACACAGUAAUUAAUGCUCAUUAGGGCAG
This 492-nucleotide ribosomal RNA is filed under the name Volvarina janneefsi. Its description in RNAcentral is "partial 16S ribosomal RNA". Lineage: Eukaryota; Metazoa; Mollusca; Gastropoda; Neogastropoda; Marginellidae. The record is from RNAcentral.